GAAUCAGAGCUUCUUCCUGAGUUAAAUAAUAGAUACAUAUUAGAUUAACACAAUUUUAAGUGAGAGUCCUCUUGUGAGAGGGCUCUCAGAGUCCUUCCCGAUAUGCAAAGUGAACUUCCUGAUAGUCUGCUAUUAAGACUUGAAAUCAUGGCACCGGUUACAGAAGAAGAUGAGACGUUCUCAUCAGAUCAACUUCAGUACCAACAUGUUCUCAUUAGCUCUGCUGCUGCUGGCUGCUGGAUCCUGUGUGAAGUGUGAACAGCUGACACAGCCAGGCUCUGUGACUGUGCGUCCAGGGGAUCGUCUGACCAUCACCUGUCGCACAUUUUGGAUCAGACAACCUGCAGGAAAAGAACUGGAGUGCAUUGGUAGUGUACAUAUUGGACACAGCACACAGUACAAAGAUUCACUACAGAACAAGUUUAGUAUCGACAUAGACUCUUCCAACAGGACCGUGACUCUGAUUGGACAGAAUGUGCAGCCUGAAGACUCUGCUGUGUAUUACUGUGCCAGAGAACCACCCACAGUAACACAAAGCAUCAUGAGACCUGAACAAAAACCCCUCAGUGACUGAACACAUGAAGCCACAAGAGGAUGAGCCCUCAGAGCACCAAUGAUUUCAGAUCAGCACAAUAAGUCAAUAAAUAACAUUGAAACAUAAUCUGGAAACAAAGCUGAUUAUUAAUUCCAGUUCUCAUAAAUGUUAUUUCUCACAGAGGAAGGUUACUUCUCCUAACCCUUCUUCUUUUCUUCAACAACCAAAAACAUAAUGCUAUAUAUGUAUUCUGCUAUACAUAACCCUCAAAGUAAACCACAUUGCUGUAUGCUCCCAUGAAAGCAUACUG
This is a non-coding RNA of Oreochromis niloticus (Nile tilapia), 845 nucleotides long. NCBI's taxonomy places the organism in Eukaryota, Metazoa, Chordata, Actinopteri, Cichliformes, Cichlidae. The record is from the annotation of a RefSeq genome assembly.